RNAcentral lists this non-coding RNA (29 nucleotides) under Homo sapiens (human). The record is from RNAcentral. Lineage: Eukaryota; Metazoa; Chordata; Mammalia; Primates; Hominidae.
UAGUUCCUUCUGUGUGUGUUCACCUGCUC